CUGUGAGCUCGAUGAGUAGGGCGGGACACGUGGUAUCCUGUCUGAAUAUGGGGGGACCAUCCUCCAAGGCUAAAUACUCCUGACUGACCGAUAGUGAACCAGUACCGUGAGGGAAAGGCGAAAAGAACCCCGGCGAGGGGAGUGAAAAAGAACCUGAAACCGUGUACGUACAAGCAGUGGGAGCACGCUUAGGCGUGUGACUGCGUACCUUUUGUAUAAUGGGUCAGCGACUUAUAUUCUGUAGCAAGGUUAACCGAAUAGGGGAGCCGAAGGGAAACCGAGUCUUAACUGGGCGUUAAGUUGCAGGGUAUAGACCCGAAACCCGGUGAUCUAGCCAUGGGCAGGUUGAAGGUUGGGUAACACUAACUGGAGGACCGAACCGACUAAUGUUGAAAAAUUAGCGGAUGACUUGUGGCUGGGGGUGAAAGGCCAAUCAAACCGGGAGAUAGCUGGUUCUCCCCGAAAGCUAUUUAGGUAGCGCCUCGUGAAUUCAUCUCCGGGGGUAGAGCACUGUUUCGGCAAGGGGGUCAUCCCGACUUACCAACCCGAUGCAAACUGCGAAUACCGGAGAAUGUUAUCACGGGAGACACACGGCGGGUGCUAACGUCCGUCGUGAAGAGGGAAACAACCCAGACCGCCAGCUAAGGUCCCAAAGUCAUGGUUAAGUGGGAAACGAUGUGGGAAGGCCCAGACAGCCAGGAUGUUGGCUUAGAAGCAGCCAUCAUUUAAAGAAAGCGUAAUAGCUCACUGGUCGAGUCGGCCUGCGCGGAAGAUGUAACGGGG
This 783-nucleotide ribosomal RNA is filed under the name Escherichia coli. RNAcentral's name for it is "partial 23S ribosomal RNA". It matches the Rfam family "Bacterial large subunit ribosomal RNA", at positions 397 to 1180 of the family's 2925-position model. The record is from RNAcentral. Lineage: Bacteria; Pseudomonadati; Pseudomonadota; Gammaproteobacteria; Enterobacterales; Enterobacteriaceae.